GUCGAGCGGGGAAGUGUAGCUUGCUACAUUACCUAGCGGCGGACGGGUGAGUAAUGCUUAGGAAUCUGCCUAUUAGUGGGGGACAACAUUCCGAAAGGAAUGCUAAUACCGCAUACGUCCUACGGGAGAAAGCAGGGGAUCUUCGGACCUUGCGCUAAUAGAUGAGCCUAAGUCGGAUUAGCUAGUUGGUGGGGUAAAGGCCUACCAAGGCGACGAUCUGUAGCGGGUCUGAGAGGAUGAUCCGCCACACUGGGACUGAGACACGGCCCAGACUCCUACGGGAGGCAGCAGUGGGGAAUAUUGGACAAUGGGGGGAACCCUGAUCCAGCCAUGCCGCGUGUGUGAAGAAGGCCUUUUGGUUGUAAAGCACUUUAAGCGAGGAGGAGGCUACUCUAGAUAAUACCUAGGGAUAGUGGACGUUACUCGCAGAAUAAGCACCGGCUAACUCUGUGCCAGCAGCCGCGGUAAUACAGAGGGUGCGAGCGUUAAUCGGAUUUACUGGGCGUAAAGCGUGCGUAGGCGGCUGAUUAAGUCGGAUGUGAAAUCCCUGAGCUUAACUUAGGAAUUGCAUUCGAUACUGGUCAGCUAGAGUAUGGGAGAGGAUGGUAGAAUUCCAGGUGUAGCGGUGAAAUGCGUAGAGAUCUGGAGGAAUACCGAUGGCGAAGGCAGCCAUCUGGCCUAAUACUGACGCUGAGGUACGAAAGCAUGGGGAGCAAACAGGAUUAGAUACCCUGGUAGUCCAUGCCGUAAACGAUGUCUACUAGCCGUUGGGGCCUUUGAGGCUUUAGUGGCGCAGCUAACGCGAUAAGUAGACCGCCUGGGGAGUACGGUCGCAAGACUAAAACUCAAAUGAAUUGACGGGGGCCCGCACAAGCGGUGGAGCAUGUGGUUUAAUUCGAUGCAACGCGAAGAACCUUACCUGGUCUUGACAUAGUAAGAACUUUCCAGAGAUGGAUUGGUGCCUUCGGGAACUUACAUACAGGUGCUGCAUGGCUGUCGUCAGCUCGUGUCGUGAGAUGUUGGGUUAAGUCCCGCAACGAGCGCAACCCUUUUCCUUAUUUGCCAGCGGGUUAAGCCGGGAACUUUAAGGAUACUGCCAGUGACAAACUGGAGGAAGGCGGGGACGACGUCAAGUCAUCAUGGCCCUUACGACCAGGGCUACACACGUGCUACAAUGGUCGGUACAAAGGGUUGCUACCUAGCGAUAGGAUGCUAAUCUCAAAAAGCCGAUCGUA
Molecule: ribosomal RNA, 1235 nt
Filed under: Acinetobacter haemolyticus
Lineage: Bacteria; Pseudomonadati; Pseudomonadota; Gammaproteobacteria; Moraxellales; Moraxellaceae
Description: bacterial SSU rRNA
Rfam family: Bacterial small subunit ribosomal RNA
Source: RNAcentral